ACGGGUGAGUAACGCGUAGGAAUCUACCUAGUAGUGGGGGACAACGUCUCGAAAGGGACGCUAAUACCGCAUACGCCCUACGGGGGAAAGGGGGGAUCUUCGGACCUCUCGCUAUUAGAUGAGCCUGCGUCGGAUUAGCUAGUUGGUGGGGUAAAGGCCUACCAAGGCGACGAUCCGUAGCUGGUCUGAGAGGAUGAUCAGCCACACCGGAACUGAGACACGGUCCGGACUCCUACGGGAGGCAGCAGUGGGGAAUAUUGGACAAUGGGGGCAACCCUGAUCCAGCCAUGCCGCGUGUGUGAAGAAGGCCUUCGGGUUGUAAAGCACUUUAGGGGGGGAGGAAGGUCCCAAAGCGAAUACCUUUGGGAAUUGACGUUACCCCCAGAAUAAGCACCGGCUAACUCCGUGCCAGCAGCCGCGGUAAUACGGAGGGUGCAAGCGUUAAUCGGAAUUACUGGGCGUAAAGCGCGCGUAGGCGGUUAGGUAAGUCGAUUGUGAAAUCCCCGGGCUCAACCUGGGAAUUGCAGUCGAGACUGUCUGACUAGAGUGUAGGAGAGGGUGGUGGAAUUCCCGGUGUAGCGGUGAAAUGCGU
Molecule: ribosomal RNA, 592 nt
Filed under: uncultured Gammaproteobacteria bacterium
Lineage: Bacteria; Pseudomonadati; Pseudomonadota; Gammaproteobacteria
Description: bacterial SSU rRNA
Rfam family: Bacterial small subunit ribosomal RNA
Source: RNAcentral